RNAcentral lists this small RNA (170 nucleotides) under Dromaius novaehollandiae (emu). RNAcentral describes it as "TUC338 (ENSDNVG00000000468.1)". The record is from RNAcentral. Lineage: Eukaryota; Metazoa; Chordata; Aves; Casuariiformes; Dromaiidae.
UUGACAGCCCUGGAGACAGAAGUCCCCUAUCAACGGUUACAGCACUCAGAAGAGGCAAUGUGUGUUUCCUACAAUGACCUGCCAGUGUGCCAGAGCCCUGACCUAAAGGGACCACCUUUAGACUUGAGAAUGUAGCUUAGUUUCCAUGCUCAUUCACAGACUAGUCUUAA